RNAcentral lists this ribosomal RNA (497 nucleotides) under uncultured bacterium. Its description in RNAcentral is "partial 16S ribosomal RNA". It matches the Rfam family "Bacterial small subunit ribosomal RNA", at positions 28 to 507 of the family's 1533-position model. The record is from RNAcentral.
GAUGAACGCUGGCGGCGUGCCUAAUACAUGCAAGUCGAGCGAACGGACGAGAAGCUUGCUUCUCUGAUGUUAGCGGCGGACGGGUGAGUAACACGUGGAUAACCUACCUAUAAGACUGGGAUAACUUCGGGAAACCGUAGCUAAUACCGGAUAAUAUUUUGAACCGCAUGGUUCAAAAGUGAAAGACGGUCUUGCUGUCCCUUAUAGAUGGAUCCGCGCUGCAUUAGCUAGUUGGUAAGGUAACGGCUUACCAAGGCAACGAUGCAUAGCCGACCUGAGAGGGUGAUCGGCCACACUGGAACUGAGACACGGUCCAGACUCCUACGGGAGGCAGCAGUAGGGAAUCUUCCGCAAUGGGCGAAAGCCUGACGGAGCAACGCCGCGUGAGUGACGAAGGUCUUCGGAUCGUAAAACUCUGUUAUUAGGGAAGAACAUAUGUGUAAGUAACUGUGCACAUCUUGACGGUACCUAAUCAGAAAGCCACGGCUAACUACGUG